CCUACGGGAGGCAGCAGUGAGGAAUAUUGGUCAAUGGGCGGAAGCCUGAACCAGCCAAGUCGCGUGAGGGAAUAAGGCCCUACGGGUCGUAAACCUCUUUUGCCGGGGAGCAAGGGCGGGGACGUGUCCCGGCCCGGAGAGUACCCGGAGAAAAAGCAUCGGCUAACUCCGUGCCAGCAGCCGCGGUAAUACGUAGGUGGCAAGCGUUGUCCGGAAUUACUGGGUGUAAAGGGAGCGCAGGCGGGAAGCC
This 250-nucleotide ribosomal RNA is filed under the name uncultured bacterium. RNAcentral describes it as "partial 16S ribosomal RNA". It matches the Rfam family "Bacterial small subunit ribosomal RNA", at positions 338 to 584 of the family's 1533-position model. The record is from RNAcentral.